AUUGAACGCUGGCGGCAGGCUUAACACAUGCAAGUCGAGCGGGGGAAGGUAGCUUGCUACCGGACCUAGCGGCGGACGGGUGAGUAAUGCUUAGGAAUUUGCCUAUUAGUGGGGGACAACAUCUCGAAAGGGAUGCUAAUACCGCAUACGUCCUACGGGAGAAAGCAGGGGAUCUUCGGACCUUGCGCUAAUAGAUGAGCCUAAGUCGGAUUAGCUAGUUGGUGGGGUAAAGGCCUACCAAGGCGACGAUCUGUAGCGGGUCUGAGAGGAUGAUCCGCCACACGGGGACUGAGACACGGCCCAGACUCCUACGGGAGGCAGCAGUGGGGAAUAUUGGACAAUGGGGGGAACCCUGAACCAGCCAUGCCGCGUGUGUGAAGAAGGCCUUAUGGUUGUAAAGCACUUUAAGCGAGGAGGAGGCUACUUUAGUUAAUACCUAGAGAUAGUGGACGUAACUCGCAGAAUAAGCACCGGCUAACUCUGUGCCAGCAGCCGCCGUAA
This 501-nucleotide ribosomal RNA is filed under the name uncultured bacterium. RNAcentral describes it as "partial 16S ribosomal RNA". It matches the Rfam family "Bacterial small subunit ribosomal RNA", at positions 30 to 523 of the family's 1533-position model. The record is from RNAcentral.